CCCUGGAUAGCUCAGUCGGUAGAGCAUCAGAUUUUUAAUCUGAGGGUCCAGGGUUCAAGUCCCUCUGGGCG
RNAcentral lists this transfer RNA (71 nucleotides) under Danio rerio (zebrafish). It matches the Rfam family "tRNA". From Rfam's summary of the family: Transfer RNA (tRNA) molecules are approximately 80 nucleotides in length. Their secondary structure includes four short double-helical elements and three loops (D, anti-codon, and T loops). The record is from Rfam by way of RNAcentral. Lineage: Eukaryota; Metazoa; Chordata; Actinopteri; Cypriniformes; Danionidae.